ACAGGAAGCAGCUUGCUGCUUCGCUGACGAGUGGCGGACGGGUGAGUAAUGUCUGGGAAACUGCCCGAUGGAGGGGGAUAACUACUGGAAACGGUAGCUAAUACCGCAUAACGUCGCAAGACCAAAGAGGGGGACCUUCGGGCCUCUUGCCAUCGGAUGUGCCCAGAUGGGAUUAGCUAGUAGGUGGGGUAACGGCUCACCUAGGCGACGAUCCCUAGCUGGUCUGAGAGGAUGACCAGCCACACUGGAACUGAGACACGGUCCAGACUCCUACGGGAGGCAGCAGUGGGGAAUAUUGCACAAUGGGCGCAAGCCUGAUGCAGCCAUGCCGCGUGUAUGAAGAAGGCCUUCGGGUUGUAAAGUACUUUCAGCGGGGAGGAAGGCGAUGAGGUUAAUAACCUCGUCGAUUGACGUUACCCGCAGAAGAAGCACCGGCUAACUCCGUGCCAGCAGCCGCGGUAAUACGGAGGGUGCAAGCGUUAAUCGGAAUUACUGGGCGUAAAGCGCACGCAGGCGGUCUGUCAAGUCGGAUGUGAAAUCCCCGGGCUCAACCUGGGAACUGCAUUCGAAACUGGCAGGCUUGAGUCUCGUAGAGGGGGGUAGAAUUCCAGGUGUAGCGGUGAAAUGCGUAGAGAUCUGGAGGAAUACCGGUGGCGAAGGCGGCCCCCUGGACGAAGACUGACGCUCAGGUGCGAAAGCGUGGGGAGCAAACAGGAUUAGAUACCCCUGGUAGUCCACGCCGUAAACGAUGUCUACUUGGAGGCUGUUCCCUUGAGGAGUGGCUUCC
RNAcentral lists this ribosomal RNA (787 nucleotides) under uncultured bacterium. Its description in RNAcentral is "bacterial SSU rRNA". It matches the Rfam family "Bacterial small subunit ribosomal RNA", at positions 69 to 847 of the family's 1533-position model. The record is from RNAcentral.